RNAcentral lists this ribosomal RNA (453 nucleotides) under Triticum aestivum (bread wheat). RNAcentral describes it as "partial small subunit ribosomal RNA". The record is from RNAcentral. Lineage: Eukaryota; Viridiplantae; Streptophyta; Magnoliopsida; Poales; Poaceae.
AUGGCAGAGGCUGAUCCGUGUGGUGCUCUGCUGGAUUGGGAUGAAGGCCACGCUGGUCCUUCUUGGUUUGGCAUGCAGUGCUCGGAUGAUGGGUGGGUCAUAGGCCUGAACUUGUCAAAUCUUGGUCUGAAGGGAAUGUUAUCUCCUAAGAUUGGACAGCUUUUUAAUAUGCAUUUUCUUGUACUGCACAAGAACUUAUUCUAUGGUAUUAUCCCUAGAGAGAUGGGAGAUUUACGAGAGCUGACGGUGUUGGAUUUGGGGCACAAUAACUUCAAUGGAUCAAUUCCAUUAGAGCUAAUAAACAUUUUAUCCCUGGAAUUUAACUUUCUUAAAGGAAACAUACUUUAUGGUGAUUUACCUCUUGAACUAAAUGAGCUCAUCAGUCUGUGUGAGUCUCAGGUUCGCCAUGGCAGGUCUUUCUCAAAUAGGAUGCACACUGCAAGGUUUGUCUAA